UCAGGCUGUAAAGCAAAAUAAGAAAAAUAAAAAUAUUAGAUUGUAACCCACCUACCUUCCUUUCUGCUUCCUCCUUAGCAAGCUUCUCUGCUACAAGCUUCUUGUGCCCCAAUAGCACUGGUCCCCACAAAUCAACCAAAGCUUUCACAUUCUCCAUCUCUUCAGCCAAAAAACAAGAAAAUUGAUGUGGGUAUGCACUUGGAACUUGGAAUUUCUCUUUCGUGUGGAUGUGCACUUGGA
This 240-nucleotide unclassified non-coding RNA is filed under the name Hevea brasiliensis (rubber tree). Lineage: Eukaryota; Viridiplantae; Streptophyta; Magnoliopsida; Malpighiales; Euphorbiaceae. The record is from RNAcentral.